Molecule: unclassified non-coding RNA, 746 nt
Filed under: Bombus terrestris (buff-tailed bumblebee)
Lineage: Eukaryota; Metazoa; Arthropoda; Insecta; Hymenoptera; Apidae
Description: misc RNA ENSBTSG00005032001.1
Source: RNAcentral
CGUAGUGCAUGAGGCUACCGCAGAGGCCGCGAAACUUAUUUAACUCGUCUAUCAAUGUUUUCACGGCGAAGUCGUCACGAAUCCGACCCUCCUUCCUCGCUCUUGUCACGAUACUUGACGCCCAUACUAUUGGUAACCAAUGCUUGCUAGGCUUAGGAAACUUUGUGUUCAGACUCUCGAAUAUGACUAGCUCGUUCUCCAGCAACAAACCCGCCUCUACGAAGUGCUCUAACGUGGGGAAUCGUUUUUUCACACGGGGCGAGACCAUCGCCAGUACUAGCGUUAAGCAAACGCACACGUCUGACGAUAGUUCGGCGCAUUAGUCGACCUCUCUCGUCGUUGCCGUGAAUAGUGGCUGACACGAAAACCGCGAUUGAGUCUGGCCACGGUAUCACCAUGUAUUGAUUCCACCACCUGGUCAUAACAAUACUGACGUAGAAGCCCAGGACGAAAGACAGCGGAAUUAGAUCGCUGUACGCGUUGCAGUAUGCUACUAUGGCUGCGAAUAUCUUCUUUUGUUCUUCGUCCAAUAUCAGUCGGUAAAUACUCGACAGCGAAUAAUAUAUGAAGAGGAAAAGAGCUAGGUCCAACCAGACGAGCUUGUAUACGCUUGCUCGCCAUCUAGAAAACAAACAAUACGUAACGCAAGACGUUUUAACAGCCGCUGAUUAAUUACAAAAAAAUAAAACACACUUCUCGAAAGCACUUUCAAUUUCUGUGAAAGUGCAAUCGAUAUCUACGAUUUU